This 428-nucleotide long non-coding RNA is filed under the name Crocodylus porosus (Australian saltwater crocodile). RNAcentral describes it as "lncRNA (ENSCPRG00005003069.1)". The record is from RNAcentral. Lineage: Eukaryota; Metazoa; Chordata; Crocodylia; Crocodylidae.
GCAGAACAUUAGCAUCUUCAAUAAACUCAACAAUAAAGUCGUAUAACUCUAAGCACUCUUAGGGAACUAGCAUUCUUCAAAGCAUGUUUUAGCUCCUUUUGUGCCUGAUGAUAUCAGUGGUGAGAGCAAUCUGAAGUUGAAAAAUCCCAUGAAGAGAACUGGAGUCUACUUAUUUGUUCCCUCAGACUGCCAAUUCUAGCAGGAGUCUCCAAAAGUGAAGUUAUUACUGAGAAGUUCUGCAAGGAGCAUAACAACCAGGAAAUGGGAGCUAAAAAGGUGCAUUCGCUUUCACAUACUAAAUGAGGCAAAGAACCUUGGAUCAAAAAGAAAUUUGGUAUACAGCCAACAGAAGUAUUAGCCAAAAUACUACAAGAAGCAAAGUAGGAGAUGCCUUUCCCCUGAAUUGAGAUUUAAAUUGAGGACUUACA